CCGAUCCCCUUCCCAACGUCAAGCCCGCCCACGAUCUCCUGUUCCUCUCCAAGUCCCAAACCACCCACCACGCCAGCCCCGCCCGCACCUCCAUCAGGUUUCAUGGCCGGCGCUCUACGGUUCCACUCCCACCAAGCUCCCCACUGCCGCCUCCGGGGAGGAGGGGCACAUCUAGAGGUCAAAAAUCAAUCCCCACCUUUCUCCCAUACAGGAGAAGGUAGAGAACCUUGAAUCGAGGCGAGCAGCGGGCCCGGGUGCCGUCGCUGCCGUCCUCGAUGCAGAAGGAGCGCACACAGGCCUUAUCCAAUCCGCCGUCGUGCCUCCCCGCGCUCCCACGCCACCUCUUCCCACGCGCUGCAUCCCAGGCGCCACACUUGUGGCCUCCCCACCUCUCCACAUGCCCAGCCGGGCCAGCGGCAUUCCAACACUCCGAUUCCUCUUCCAUCCACCUCCAUCGAACGCGGCCGCCUAGGCGCACGAACUGCCUUGCCCCGACGCCGCCACCGCCCUGCCGUCUACACACUGCAGUUCCAUUCAGAAGAAUAAUUUAUGUGAUCUGAUUUGAUUUGUACAAAGAUUUGGUCGAGGCUAACACCCUGCGUACGUACAGGUAAUUUACACUUUCCAAGUUUAUUUGGGUCUAAAAAUUAACAGCGCAGAAAUCUAAAAUUCAUCCCUGGUCAGUUUCUUGUGUAAUAUUUAAGUCAAUUACACAAGCGUGAAUGACUACUAUUUCUUACUUAAGCGUGAAUGACUCCAGAAACUCUGCUAAAAAUGAAGGCCCUUCUUUUAAAUGAUAGCAGCCAACAACUGCCAUAGUUCCAGGACCAAGAACUUCCUACUCAACCAAUAAUGCACUACUUUCAGUUCAUUCUGACUUCUAAGACGUUAACCACCACGAAAAGGAACUUCUCAAGCUUCUUUUUGAGCCAAGUUAAGCAUGGCUGCUUACGGCUAAUUGCAGUUUAGGUAUCUUUCAAUUUUCCAGACAAAGGCAGUAGGAUAUCUAGCAUUUUCAUACGACGUGCUAUGAAUAUGAUUACACUCUACUGACUGUGAAAUUUUCCAUGAAUGUAGUUUUUUUUUUAGCCGAAACCGUAGAACAAUCGUUCUACGGUAUAUUAUAUAUUAAAUAAUGUAAAGUAUAUUUACAAAAGGCUAAAUAGCUAAAUUUUCCAUGAAUGUAGUUCUUGCAUCAUUUCUAAAACUCUGUAAGUUCCGAUUGAAACUAUAGCAAUCUGUUGACACGAGGUUCAGAAAAGAGUGAGAAAUUUAUUUGUAAGUAUUUUUUAUUGAGAUAUAAACUUACUGGGUAGUUUGCAAAAUUUAACCUGGGAUUAUAGUUUGAAUUUUUUAAAUAUACAACCAGCAAUCUGAGAUCAAUGCUUCUACGCAGGCAAUCUAGAUGUGCCAGCAAAAUUUCUUUGCAAGCUCAUACAGAAGCUUAAAGACAUGCCUGCUAAUUUGGGAUGUUGUGGUGUUAAAUGACCUAAAUCUUGCUUGAUAUAUCAUAAUCAUAUAAUCUACUACCCCUAUAAAAGCACGAAAGGGCGGAGAACCAAAUCAUCUCAACCAUCAAACUAUGCUGAUCUGAUGGUUCAAAUCGUCUCAUAGAUCAAACGCGUUUGACACUGUAAUUACCCACCACUGCCAUUGGUCAUAAACUCAUAACUACGUUUAGCACCUACGAGAAAAAAGGCCUGCAGAACACGUCAUGAUUCCUCCCCCACCAUCACGACUGCCCACGAUCUCCCGUUCGUCUCCCACCAGCCCCUUCCCGCACCUUCUCUUCCGCUUGCGUGCUCUUGCCAGGCCGAAACCUCCCACAUGGUCUUUAUGGCCGCCGCGGCCAAAUCUUCAGCUACAUCCCCUUGCAUAACUGAACGGCUUCCGCGAUCCGCGACACCCUCACAUGAGGCGCUCUCCCCGCCGCCACCACGACGAACUCAUUGGCGCGCUCUUCGCCGGAGCGGCGUGCGCUGGAAGCCGGAGCAGGGAAGGAGUGCGGCCACCAGUGGGGGAGACUACAAGGGGAGGCAUGGUAGUGCUCUCUCUGUCGCCGGAGGGAAAGAGCCAAGGGAAGCGGCGUCCUACGAGAUGUACCGUCUGGCCGGAUAGGACGCGCGGCAGGGAAGGCAGCGACCAGAUACCGGCACGGGUGAGGCCUGGUUGCCAUGCAGUGCCCAUGGUGGUUACAUCCAGGCCACGCAUGGGAGUCGCCAUGGCGGCGGCGUGGUGCUGACGCGGGAAGGAGGCACGGGGCGGCACGUCAUCCAAGGUAGUACAAAUUUAUCUGUUCUAAAUUGUUUUGCUGUGUGAUAUGUGUGGAUUAGAGGAACGUCCUCUAAUUGAUCGAUGUGCCUGACGCUGGAGAUCCAAAGGGUAUGGUUUUGUCAAGUUCUCUUUGGAAAGCGAAGCAGCCACGGCGUUGGAGAAAAUGAGUGGUGAGGUGCUUGAUGGAAGGAAUAUAUGGGUGCAUUAUGCCUGAUUCUGCUGCUUCUCCUGCUGCUAUAGAUGUGUAAGGCACUUAUUCGGAAUAUGUAAUGUUAGAUGUACGCAUGGAGCCUUGAACAUGUACUAUGUAUACCUGCAGAGAGAUUUAUGGUAACAACAGAGUAAUUUAUUUGGAAGCAAUUGUUACUGAGGUAGAGUCUUUCUGGGUAGUUUGCCGCAAGUAUUAAACUUAUGAUUUUAGUUUGAGAUACAACCAGAAAUCUGAAACCAAUACUUCUUCUCAGGCAAUCUAGAUGUGUUAUAAAAUUUAUUUUGGAAAGCUUGUACAGAAGGUUAACAAUAUGCCUUCUACUUUUGGAUAUUGUGGUGUUAAAUGACCACUUCAUAAAUCAUAAUCUGAGGUGGUGUUCAUUCAACCAAAGGCAAAGAAUAUUAUUACAAAAAACGGUGUGAGCAAGCAAAUUCACUUCAUACCAAAACUUGAUAAGCCAUGUGGGUGACACUAGGAGGCGUUGUACUGCUCGAUAGCCUGCCACAGUCCACAGGCAUAGAGCCAAAGUUGUGAGUGGGCGGUCUUUGGUCUAAGGUUUUUUAAAUGCAUUAAAAUUUAUGUUUGUUUGUAACCUGAAUCUUGCAGAUGGUUUCUGGGCUGUAGCUACAAAAAACAAUUCAUCGUACGGCGGUAACACAAUAAGGUUCAGUUGUGUGUUCAUAUUAAUUAAAAAAAAUGUACAUAUGAACCGACUGCAUCAGUUGUUUUGCUUCUCCUAUUCCCUUGAAAGGAUUGCUUGAUGGAAAGAUGUUUUUGCUUUUGCAGCCUUAUUUCUUAUGUAAUUUUUGCAGUGGUGCUUAUGUACAGUUGAUGAAUGAAAGGUAUGACCAAGUAGGCUGAUGUCAAAAGCUUUACAGAUCAGGGCAUAAUUGAUACUGAUUUCAUAUCUUGAAGUUUUUUUAUUCCUGUAACGAAAAUAUUGCUAAUGCUUUGAGUACCCCCCCCCCCCCCCUGGUUGUAGAGCAAGGGCUCGCUUCCUUAUAUUUUCAAUGCAUACUUUGAAUUUUUGUUUUUCCUCUUUGGGUUGCCCUUAAUGAUCACCGCUAAGUUUGCUUUGCAUUUUGCGAAAGCACAUGAAAAUGCAGGUUUUGCUUGAUGAAUUGGUUAACUUAGCACCCAUGGACUCGAGCUGAAAGGAAGUAGCCUUGUAAGGACCCAAGCCAUGCAAGAUACAAAUAAUUGUUGACUUGGCAUUAUCUCUUUCUUCAUGGUGUUUCGAUUGUGCAAUUGUGUUGUUAAUUUGGUUUAACAGCUUCAAAGGGCACUGAGAAUGAACUUUGAAUUCUACAAAAAUCACUGCUACCUUGCGACCAUAAUUUACCUUCAGAGCUCAGGAGGUGGCGUCAUCACCGUUCCUGCCGCCCUCCGGCUGGGCCGUCGAGGACCUCCUACAGUUCUCCUACGUGCACCGUCGAGGGCACUGAAGGUCUAUCACAAAUCAAUCAGGUGAACCUUUAAUUCAAUCGGUGGUAUUCUUUGGUUUGCAUGACUAAUACUGCACCUUUGGUACUUGGUGGUGGAUCUGAACUUUUUGAUCUGCAAUUUCAUCUACUAACCAAUCUUCCUCUGAUACAUAGUACUAGAAACAUUUUUUGGGACAGGAAGAAAUUGCUAUUCCGGAGUUUACUUAAUCAUUUGAAAAUUCCUUUGGGAAAUACAAGUGAACUGGAGCCUGAAACUUAUUCUCAUAUAUAGAUAUAGGAGGAAAUGGGACUGAUGUAAGAAUGUGUUUGUUUAGACCUGUAUACUUACGAGGAGGUUCAUAUUUAGACCAAGAUUAGAAUUUGACUACAUGCCUAAGUUUGGCUGGUUGAGAAAUUAGAAUUCAUUGUCCCUCAUAAAGUUUAUGUUUAGUGGGUGCACGCGCAUUAGAGAUUAAAUAUGAACCCUGGGGCUUCCAGCAAUCUAGAAUUGUAGUGUUCGGAUUAUCUUAGGUUGCCGAUUACUGUACUGAAAAUGUGUAAUUAGAUAUGACAUGUACAUAAGAAUUGUGCAGCAAUCUUGUCUUACAAAGUAGGAUCAAGAGGGAUACUAAAGAAAUGAAGAUGCAGAGUCUCUGUUUCCUAGGAUUACUUCUCAUGUUCAUGUCGGCUUCCUUGGCUUUACUUCAUACCACCAGAUGCAUUAAACUGGACCGUAUCAAGAGGUAAGGCUACCCCCUUGAUUAGAAUUGCCUUAUUUGUGCUAUUUGGUCAGUGUGUGUUUUAUGUAUGAUGAUGUCACGUAGCCUGGAAUAAAGUUGGGUUGUGCCUGCCUAGGCACUAGCUCCAGUGAUAUAGGUUGGAAAUCAGAAUAUAUGCUUGAUUCUUAGAGAAAACUUUACACGCAGACUUCGUGGGCUCAUGUGUUGUUUCAACAUAAUUGCAUAGCAAUCCAGUGAAUUAUGUAAGAUCCAGUAGGAGGUAUUGUAGAUGUACUACUAUUUCAGUUGCAUGAUUCUAUACAUCUAAAAAGGGUAUAGAGAUUCUGUAACUGUUGUUAGAGAAUAUAUCUCGCUGCUGCUCUGUAAAUGUGUGUAAUCUCUACUGCGUUCCAAUAAAGAGAAUUUUACCAUGCAGAGGGAUCCAAUGAAGAAACUAAUCCUGCUGAGUUCCAAUAAAUAAAUCCUUCGGAGGAUCUGCUCUAAUACAGCUGUCGUGUAUUGGAACAGAGAAAUCAUAUAAACUAGAUUCAGUCGGAUUUAUUUUAUUUCAUGACAGAGAAAUCAUAUACCUUUUGCUAUUUUGGCACAUACAUUUAUUCUUAUUUACUUGUGCAGUUUGGAAUGAUCCAACAUAUCUGAAGUUAUCAAACAAGAAUACUUACUAUUUAAGGCCUUAUUUGCAGGUUAUUUGCACCGCCUCUCUUUCUUUGUAUACACGUCUCUUUCCUCCAACAAUAAUAGUGAACAACUUUUUUCGGAUCAGGUAUUACAUUGCUACAAAUAUAUGCGGAAGCUACUCCUUACAACAAGGAAAAAGAGGAUGAAUGCUUUCUAUCUUCACCAGUUUUGUAGCAUGUUCCAAAUUGUUAUCUCUUUCCUAUGGAAAUUCUGAAACUAAAUGAGUUGGCCUAGAAUUAUGAAUCUGUGUUCAAGCUUGCUUA
This is a long non-coding RNA of Triticum aestivum (bread wheat), 5590 nucleotides long. RefSeq lists it as uncharacterized. The transcript is spliced from 3 exons. The record is from RefSeq and is a predicted model, not a curated record. Lineage: Eukaryota; Viridiplantae; Streptophyta; Magnoliopsida; Poales; Poaceae.